CAUGUUGCAUUAGGGGCUCCUUAUCUGAAAGGCCCGGGGAGUUCUAGCCGCCCACUGGAAAUUUGCCCACCGCCAUGUUUGAAAGGCCCAGGGAGUUCUCAUGGAGACUCCCAACAUUCAGAAUAGACAGCAGUUUCAGAGUGUCAGCUUGAGAUAUCAGCUUGGAGUGGGCCAUGUGCUAUCAUCAUGGACAGGAGAAGUUGUACUCUGCUGAAGCCUGGGGAUGGAGAUUCAGAGGUUUAUUGCUGUGGUGAUUUUCCUGGGCAAGGCUCGUGAUGAAAACUGAUCAGGUGAUGGGAUCAGGGUGCCCACAAUGUCCAGUCUCAGGGCAUGCCUCCUUUUAGGGAUCUCAAAUGAGGGGUUGCUUUACUCCAUGGUCUGGCAUGUUUGAUGAGCUCCUGAUCCUGGAUUUCCAAUAUGUGUUUGAUAAGCUUGUGCAUCCGCGUGCUUCAGAUUAAUUCAGCCAAGAUUUUGGAACUCAAACAGAAAUAGAGCCUACCAUCCCACACCGUAAUCCGAACGGAUGAAGACAGCAAGAAGCAAAGUACACGGUUGACAGGCCUUGGAAUCUGGCAGAGGUGCCUCUGCAUGUAAUGCUGUGUUGGUUUUCUGAGUGCAGUGGCUUGAAAGCUGGGCUUCCUGUGAUGCCUUCUGGGGAGAAAGGAUGCUACUUGAACUUUCAGGGGCAUCUGGGAAGAAAUGUACCUUGGGAGCCAGGCCAGCACUCCAUGAGGAACAGGCAACAACUGCAUCCUGAGCCUGUUUAUCAACUGCAUCUACAGGUGUUUCCAUACAGAACCCAAUUCUGUGCCCCAGUGUGGGGCACAAGAGUAAGGGCAGCCCAGGCGGACCAGGUCAGAGGCCUGGGGAAGCUCAGAGACCCCAGGCCUCCAUCACACGAAUGUACUGCAUUUCUGUCAUUAAGGCACAUUCUGAUUCCUUAAUUUAUUUGGCCAUUCUGCAUAGAACUUCUUGUGUAAUUGCAUGCUGUAUUUAGACAUGUUUUCAAGAUAUAUUUUCUAAGCAAUUUAAAAUUCUUAGGUUCAUAUUGAA
This is a long non-coding RNA of Marmota flaviventris (yellow-bellied marmot), 1053 nucleotides long. RefSeq lists it as uncharacterized. NCBI's taxonomy places the organism in Eukaryota, Metazoa, Chordata, Mammalia, Rodentia, Sciuridae. The record is from RefSeq and is a predicted model, not a curated record.